GGGGAUGUAGCUCAGUGGUAGAGCGCGC
This 28-nucleotide non-coding RNA is filed under the name Drosophila melanogaster (fruit fly). The record is from RNAcentral. RNAcentral also lists the same sequence under 6 other names. Lineage: Eukaryota; Metazoa; Arthropoda; Insecta; Diptera; Drosophilidae.